UGCAAGCUUCACAGAUUUCAUUUGUCAAUCGACUUCUCUUGUAUAACUUGGCAGAUUAAAAGCUUGUCCAUUUUAUUUAUUUACAAGAAGGCUUUCCCAAGUGUUAGGUAACUGUUGCUUUAUUUAGAUGGAGAUGUUUUGUGACGGAUCCGACCUUGAAAGUAUGUUUUAAUUCUGCAUGAUUCCUUCCAUUCUGUGGAUGAAAACAAAUCAUUGGGACUCAGUAAACAAUACUAUUUUUCCCAAGCACUGUGUAAAGAACAUGUCUGAGUCACCAGACAGUAUUUUAACGUUAUGAUAUUCCAUAACUAAAAAAAAAAAUCCACUCUGUGGUUGAGGAUAUGUGGCAAACUCAAGAGGUGAGAGGAAGAUUUAGAGGAGUAGAAGAAUUAAAAGUGGAACACUACGUCUCAACUAAUAGCAGAAGAAAGUCUUUUUGUACGAAGGAGUACAAGGACCCCCUGUGGUAAAAAUGAAAUAUUGCUCCAAUGAGAUGCUACAUCAAGACUGUUGUCCAGAGCUAUAUAUAAGGUCCCUCUUGAAUUAGCUGAAAGAAGGAUAUUUUACUAAGACAGUGACAUAAGACACCUAUGAAAUCUGAAGAAUCAAGUAGUAAAGACAACCAUCAUGCUUCAGCACAAACCACCUCUUUCUCCAGCCCUUCAGGAACCCUGACUGCGUGCGCUUGUGCAGAUAUCCCCGACACGCUGGUCUGGGGGUGUUGGGGCAUCUGCUGAUGUCAGAACCGAUCACUAAGUUGUACAGUGAAGAAGAUUACACAACCGAAAACCAAGCCCUGCAGCACCACUACUGAAGAUCUGGGCUAUUUUACCUUGGCGGGCC
Long non-coding RNA from Lepisosteus oculatus (spotted gar), 843 nucleotides. RefSeq lists it as uncharacterized. NCBI's taxonomy places the organism in Eukaryota, Metazoa, Chordata, Actinopteri, Semionotiformes, Lepisosteidae. The record is from RefSeq and is a predicted model, not a curated record.